GGGAUAUAGCUCAGUGGUAUAGCAAGUGCUUAACAUGCAUGAGGAACCUGGGUUCAAUCUCCAGCGUGCCA
RNAcentral lists this transfer RNA (71 nucleotides) under Marmota monax (woodchuck). RNAcentral's name for it is "tRNA.Val". The record is from RNAcentral. Lineage: Eukaryota; Metazoa; Chordata; Mammalia; Rodentia; Sciuridae.